GACGUAGGGCGCGAGCGUUGUCCGGAUUUAUUGGGCGUAAAGAGCCCGUAGGCGGCUUGUUGCGUCGACUGUGAAAACCCGCAGCUUAACUGCGGGCCUGCAGUUGAUACGGGCAGGCUAGAGUUCGGUAGGGGAGACUGGAAUUCCUGGUGUAGCGGUGAAAUGCGCAGAUAUCAGGAGGAACACCGGUGGCGAAGGCAGCUCGCUGGGACGUUACUGACACUGAGGCGCGAAAGCGUGGGGAGCGAACAGG
RNAcentral lists this ribosomal RNA (253 nucleotides) under uncultured bacterium. RNAcentral's name for it is "partial 16S ribosomal RNA". It matches the Rfam family "Bacterial small subunit ribosomal RNA", at positions 524 to 776 of the family's 1533-position model. The record is from RNAcentral.